RNAcentral lists this transfer RNA (83 nucleotides) under Schistocephalus solidus. It matches the Rfam family "tRNA". Rfam says of the family: Transfer RNA (tRNA) molecules are approximately 80 nucleotides in length. Their secondary structure includes four short double-helical elements and three loops (D, anti-codon, and T loops). Lineage: Eukaryota; Metazoa; Platyhelminthes; Cestoda; Diphyllobothriidea; Diphyllobothriidae. The record is from Rfam by way of RNAcentral.
AGCCUCGUAGCUCAAUUGGCCAGAUCGUUAGCUGUACUAAAGCCUUUCCUUUGCUGGUGUGGGUUUGAAUCCCACCGAGGCCG